RNAcentral lists this ribosomal RNA (447 nucleotides) under uncultured bacterium. Its description in RNAcentral is "bacterial SSU rRNA". It matches the Rfam family "Bacterial small subunit ribosomal RNA", at positions 30 to 524 of the family's 1533-position model. The record is from RNAcentral.
AUUAAACGCUGGCGGCAUGCCUAACACAUGCAAGUCGAACGAGACCUUCGGGUCUAGUGGCGCACGGGUGCGUAACGCGUGGGAAUCUGCCCUGGGGUGCGGAAUAACUCGGAGAAAUCCGUGCUAAUACCGCAUAAUGUCUUCGGACCAAAGAUUUAUCGCCCUGGGAUGAGCCCGCGUAGGAUUAGCUAGUUGGUGGGUAAAGGCCUACCAAGGCGACGAUCCUUAGCUGGUCUGAGAGGAUGAUCAGCCACACUGGGACUGAGACACGGCCCAGACUCCUACGGGAGGCAGCAGUGGGGAAUAUUGGACAAUGGGCGAAAGCCUGAUCCAGCAAUGCCGCGUGAGUGAUGAAGGCCCUAGGGUUGUAAAGCUCUUUACCCGGGAUGAUAAUGACAGUACCGGAGAAUAAGCUCCGGCUAACUCCGUGCCAGCAGCCGCGGUAAU